AUGUGUUAUCUUCGGAGAGGAGUUGUGCUAACAAAAGACAACCUCGCUCGACGCAACUGGCAAGGAAGUAAGAAGUGUAGCUUUUGUACUCAUGACGAGACAAUUAAACACCUCUUCUUUCAGUGCAAGUUCGCGCAUUCUAUAUGGUAAGUCAUCCAAAUAGCGUCCAAUUUGUAUCCGCCAACAAGUGUUGCCAAUAUAUAUGGUCACUGGCUUGAUGGAAUACCAAAUACUUUUAGUACGCUAAUACGGGUGGGAGUGUCUGCCUUAUUAUGGUCGCUUUGCCUAUGUAGAAACAAUUGUGUUUUUAAUGGCAAAACCUCUUCUUCUAUGCGAGUUAUUUACCGUUGUACGCACUGGCUUCGUAAGUGA
RNAcentral lists this ribosomal RNA (372 nucleotides) under Triticum aestivum (bread wheat). RNAcentral describes it as "partial small subunit ribosomal RNA". Lineage: Eukaryota; Viridiplantae; Streptophyta; Magnoliopsida; Poales; Poaceae. The record is from RNAcentral.